RNAcentral lists this ribosomal RNA (207 nucleotides) under uncultured Smithella sp. RNAcentral describes it as "partial 16S ribosomal RNA". It matches the Rfam family "Bacterial small subunit ribosomal RNA", at positions 568 to 774 of the family's 1533-position model. The record is from RNAcentral. Lineage: Bacteria; Pseudomonadati; Thermodesulfobacteriota; Syntrophia; Syntrophales; Smithellaceae.
CGUGUAGGCGGCUGGAUAAGUCAGAUGUGAAAGCCCUGGGCUUAACCCAGGAAGUGCAUUUGAAACUGUUCAGCUUGAGUAAGGGAGAGGAAAGUGGAAUUCCUGGUGUAGAGGUGAAAUUCGUAGAUAUCAGGAGGAACACCGGUGGCGAAGGCGACUUUCUGGCCCUGUACUGACGCUGAGACGCGAGAGCGUGGGUAGCAAACA